Molecule: long non-coding RNA, 1264 nt
Organism: Ruditapes philippinarum (Manila clam)
Lineage: Eukaryota; Metazoa; Mollusca; Bivalvia; Venerida; Veneridae
Exons: 3
Source: RefSeq, a predicted model, not a curated record
UUAGUUGGGACGUAGUCCCAACUAGUGCACUUACAAACCCGAAAUUUCCAACCAUACAGGGUAACGCCCACUGCUGUGACGUUUCAUCGCCACUCUAUAUGCUAUAUUGUAUUCUAACAUAUCAAGGUAAGCUGAAUUCAUAGUGAUCACCCGACCAUGACCGACGCAUAACCGCCGCGAGUGAAAAAUAGUGCUCUGAAUUUCUGAAAACUUCGAUUUAUUGCGAACAGAAGUGGAGACAAGAAAUUUAUUUUUUGAAAAUAAUGUGCAAUUGAGCUUGAAUUACGGUAUUAGAAACGUAGCGGAUAUAAUUUGAAAGGUCACAUAAUUCUAUGAAUGGGAUAGUAAAUUAAUUGGGUCAUAGUGCUUGACGGCUUGCAAUAUUUUAACUUACUCAUCCGCCUUAUCAUCACAUUUUUUUGUAUUAUAUUCCAGAAUUUUUUGAAAAAAGACAUUAUUUAUCGGAUAAAUUUUGUAGUUUAUAAUUGCAAAGUGGAUAUUGAAAUAGAAUUAGCCAGAGAUGUAGAUAAUCUAUUCGUCUCUGAAUUAGCCGAUAAUUAGGUUAAAUGAAUCCGACAACUUCCGGUAUAUUUUUCGACCUACUUCACGAGCAUAAUUAUCAGCCUGUUAAGCUCAUAAGGGAAAUAAAAGAUUAUUUACUUUAAUAUUCACUUGGAAAGGCUGGUACAUGUAGCUAGAAAAAAAGUACAGUAUAAGAUUAAAGAAAGACUAGAAGAUUAUUACAAACAACAGGUGGACAUGUGUCACUGUCAAGCGAAUGAAGAUAAGCAUCACAUUCGGUGGGAAUCUCCAGUUUCCAGAUGUAGUGAUCAUAACUGUACAGGCACCAUUAACACUUUGGACUAGUUGGAGUAUUGUAGAGGGCUAGUCUGAAUUGAAUCCCCUGUCAAUAGUAAAGGCCAGUCAUGAACAUUGUGUUGAAGGAAAAUGUUAAAACUCGGAUUUUCCGCUUAACCAAUCAUUACUUUACCUUAUAUUCAGUGCGGUAAUGUAGGAAAUGGUUACUUUCUGGAACGGAGCUGUCAAUUAUUUUUAAUUUUUUAGCUUGUUAGUGUUAUCGUCGGACAGUUGUGAAGUAAAGACAUCGCAGUUUGACUGUAUACAAGUUGCCUUAAAGAAAGUAUGUCGAAAUCUUAACAGUUAUUCGUUGAUUUUGUAGAAAUUGACCAGAAUUCACCUUUGUUUACACGCAUCGCUUGGACGUCGAAAACGACAUGCAAUGACAUUUCAGUGAAAUUUGGAA